CUGACGACGCGACGCCGCGUGGAGGAUGAAGGUCUUCGGAUUGUAAACUCCUUUUAUAUGGGACGAAUAGAUGACGGUACCAUAUGAAUAAGUACCUGCUAACUACGUGCCAGAAGCAUCGGUGAUGCGUAGGGUACAAACGUUAUCCGGAUUAAUUGGGCGUAUAGAGAAGCGUAGGCGUUUCUGCCAGUCUUUAGUUAAAGACCACGGCCUAACCGUGGGAGAGCUCGAGAUACUACAGAAAUUGAGACAGGAAUGGGCGAAUGGAAUUCCCAGUGGAGCAGUGAAAUGCGUUGAUAUUGGGAGGAACAUCAGUGGCGAAGGCGAUUCGCUGGUCCUUGUCUGACGCUAAGGCUCGAAAGCGUGGGUAGCAAAACGGAUUAGAUACCCGUGUAGUCCACGCCGUAAACAAUGGAUGCUAGGUGUUUGGUACAACUACCUAAUCCUUCGGGAUUGGAUGGAAGUAUUGAGUGCCGCAGCUAACGCGUUAAGCAUCCCGCCUGGGAAGUACGGCCGCAAGGCUAAAACUCAAAUGAAUUGGCGGGGACCCGCACAAGCGGAGGAGCGCGUGGUUUAAUUCGACGGCAAUCGAAGAACCUUACCAGGGUUUGAAAUGUAUCUGCAUGCCCCUAGAAAUAGGGGAGGCUUUCGAAGGUGAUACACAGGUGCUGCAUGGCCGUCGUCAGCUCGUGUCGUGAGAUGUAGGGUUAAGUCCCGAAACGAGCGCAACCCCUGUCCCAUGUUACAAGUGUCUUGGGAAACUGCCUCGGUAAAACGGGGAGGAAGGUGGGGAUGACGUCUGGUCCGCAUAGCCCUUAUGUCCUGGGCGACACACGCGCUACAAUGGCCGAUACAAUGGGAAGCCAAAUCGUAAGAUGGAGCAAAUCCUAAAAAGUCGGUCUCAGUUCGGAUUGAGGUCUGAAACUCGACCUCAUGAAGUUGGAUUCGCUAGUAAUCGUGGAUCAGCCAUGCCACGGUGAAUACGUUCUCGGGUCUUGCACACACCGCCCGUCAAGCCAUGGAAGUAGGUGAUACCCGAAGGUGUUCCGCUCCUUGUGAGUGGGAUGACGAAGGUAACGCUUAUGACUGGGGUUAAGUCGUAACAAGGUAGCCGUAGGGGAAUCUGCGGCUG
RNAcentral lists this ribosomal RNA (1132 nucleotides) under bioreactor metagenome. RNAcentral's name for it is "bacterial SSU rRNA". It matches the Rfam family "Bacterial small subunit ribosomal RNA", at positions 383 to 1520 of the family's 1533-position model. The record is from RNAcentral.